UUUGGAUCUCUUGGUUGCAUUGCACUGCUCAGAAGCAAUAAGUUACAUUAAAUAAAUCUGCCGGAUCUUAUCGUACAUUCACUGGCACCAUUUUAUUCUCUAGCCAUGUUUGUGAUGAUGAACGUUUGGUAUAGGAGAUUGAACAUUGCUAGGGUCGUAGCGAUGGAGUUUUCUUCCACCCGCUAGUAAUUGGGGCCCACCGUGUCCUGCAAACGAUAAGAUAAAACCCUUAGCUGCAUGAAAAGGAAGGAGGCAGGUCACUCAACCGUCUUCCACCAUUUACAUAUAUAUGAAAAAAAGGUCCAUCUGUAUUUUUAUUUAUUUUAAAUUUCAAAAAAUGGGGAAAAAAAGAAAUAAAAUAUAUGGACUAGAGAGAGAGCAUCCAUAUUUUUAUUUUUAAAAAAAUUUCGAAAAUGUCCAUUGUAUUGGGGAUGGGAAUAAGAGAUAAAAUGAGUUGUUUUUUUUGAAAAAAGAAAAACUUUUUUUUUUUGUCGUUUUUUUUGGGGGGGGGGGGGGGUAAGUUAACCCCACCCGAGAUUAACUAGUUUCGGAUCUCUAUGAAAAACUGUGUACAUGAGAAAAAUAGAGAAGAAUGAACAAAUAAGGAUGCACACUGAUUAUGUAUAGUUAUUUUUUUUUUUGUAGAUAUUCGUAAAUAGAGGAAGCAAGAAUUAAUAUUUUAGCCACAAAAUUUGAUAGAUGAAAUCUAAAAAAGCAAAUUUUUUUUCUCAUAUAAUAAUAUUAAAUCAACAAAUGUAAAUUUUAUCAUCCUAACUUAAUCAUUAACAUUUAUGCUCAAAUUCUAUUGGUGUAAAAUACAUGGGAGAAUUUCAACUUAUCCUAUAAAAUCUAAAAUACUUGCUAUCACCCUUGGAGCCACGACAUAUUCUAGUGGUUCAUUGCCCAUCGCUCGAACUUAGAAUACUUGAAGUUUGCUAGUUCAUGCACAAAUUGGCCACCAAAUGGAUAUUUAUGAAUAGCAAGAUUAUUUGUUAGAAUUAACUUAACAUUUUUAUUGUCAAAGUAGGAAAAGAGUUAACUUGUUCUUUGGAAUAUCUACAAGCUGAUAGACAACAUGCAGACCAUGACCAUUGACCAUUAUUGUGUUUUGGGUUGACAAACUUCAUGCAUGUGUGGCACAACUAAGAAUUUAGGUACUCUUCUACCAUAGAAUUUGUCUAUCAUUCAGCUGCUCCAUUUAUUGUUUAACUACGCAAGGCAAUUUGUUUUUAUUAGGGACUCGUUUGGUUCGCAAAAAGAAUUUACCUCACUGAAAUAUUUUGUCUAAUAUUUGAAAAAGUGAUUUUUGCGAGUUUAGUUGACCAUAAAAAAAUGGCAUAUUUCAGAAUAGUUUAUAUUUGGUUGAGCAUCUACUUUUUUAGUAAAAUUGCAUAAAAUACCUGUUAUACCCUUAAUAAAAUAAAAGAUCCGAUCUCGUUCUAUCUAAAAGCUUAAGGACGCUUUUGGGGGAAAAAAUUCUAAUUUCUAGCCCGUAUGAAUUGGGAUUUCUUAUAUCCUAUAUGAAUUUUUCUUUCUCAUGAAAGUUACUUUGCCGUCUCUUUUAUUUUUUUUAAAAAACUCAAAGUAAAUAUAAGACAUUUUUUCAUUUUUUCGUUGACCACACUUUUUUCUUUUUUUUUCCUGCAAACCAAACAAAUUCUAAAUGCACAAUCUCUGCUUCAUAUAGGUAAUCACAUGCUUCAUACAGCUUCAAUUUCAUUGCCUUGUAGGUGCCUAUGUAAAAGGGAUGCAUUCUUGCUUUCUGCUCUUUCCUCAACAAGAAUUAAGAAGAUUCUUCAGAGAGAUUAAUGAUAAAAGAAGAAAGAUAUCAUGAUAACAACAAUAACACCAUCCAAAGUACUUUCUUUUUUUCUUUUUUUUUUUGAGCAAGGGAAUUUUCAUCGUGAAAACAAAUAUAACAAGGUAGAGUAACUUGUACCAUGGACGGAAAGGAGGGGCAUGGCUCUUGAAUCAGCUCCAAUUGAACAAGCAAGAAGCACCACAAGGAACAACACCAUGUAACCACUUCCCUUAUCCAUUGUGUUAUUUGUGGCGCUUCCU
Molecule: long non-coding RNA, 2061 nt
Filed under: Phoenix dactylifera (date palm)
Lineage: Eukaryota; Viridiplantae; Streptophyta; Magnoliopsida; Arecales; Arecaceae
Description: long non-coding RNA (PDAC_LNC002555)
Source: RNAcentral